RNAcentral lists this ribosomal RNA (253 nucleotides) under uncultured bacterium. RNAcentral's name for it is "partial 16S ribosomal RNA". It matches the Rfam family "Bacterial small subunit ribosomal RNA", at positions 524 to 776 of the family's 1533-position model. The record is from RNAcentral.
UACGAAGGGGGCUAGCGUUGCUCGGAAUCACUGGGCGUAAAGCGCACGUAGGCGGAUCCUUAAGUCGGGGGUGAAAUCCUGGAGCUCAACUCCAGAACUGCCUUCGAUACUGAGGAUCUCGAGUCCGGGAGAGGUGAGUGGAACUGCGAGUGUAGAGGUGAAAUUCGUAGAUAUUCGCAAGAACACCAGUGGCGAAGGCGGCUUACUGGCCCGGUACUGACGCUGAGGUGCGAAAGCGUGGGGAGCAAACAGG